CUAACGGCCCUUUUCAGGGCCCCUCAUUUUCUAUGCAUAGUCUUCU
Molecule: non-coding RNA, 46 nt
Organism: Octopus bimaculoides (California two-spot octopus)
Lineage: Eukaryota; Metazoa; Mollusca; Cephalopoda; Octopoda; Octopodidae
Source: Rfam